AAUGAACGUUGGCGGCGUGGAUUAGGCAUGCAAGUCGAGCGCGAACCCCGCAAGGGGUGGAAGCGGCGAAAGGGAGAGUAACGCGUGGGUAUCUACCCUCGGGACUGGGAUAGCUGCGGGAAACUGCAGGUAAUACCAGAUGACGUCCCCGGACCAAAGGUGUGAUUCCGCCUGAGGAUGAGCCCGCGUCCUAUUAGCUAGUUGGUGGGGUAAUGGCCUACCAAGGCAAUGAUGGGUACUGGGUGUGAGAGCACGACCCAGCUCACUGGGACUGAGACACUGCCCAGACACCUACGGGUGGCUGCAGUCGAGAAUCUUCGGCAAUGGGCGAAAGCCUGACCGAGCGACGCCGCGUGUGGGAUGAAGGCCUUCGGGUUGUAAACCGCUGUCAGAGGGGAGGAAUGGGCGGAGGGUAAUCUCUUCGUUUUGACCUAUCCUCAGAGGAAGUACGGGCUAAGUUCGUGCCAGCCGCCGCAGUAA
Molecule: ribosomal RNA, 480 nt
Filed under: uncultured bacterium
Lineage: Bacteria
Description: partial 16S ribosomal RNA
Rfam family: Bacterial small subunit ribosomal RNA
Source: RNAcentral